RNAcentral lists this transfer RNA (67 nucleotides) under Propeamussium sp. mt1. RNAcentral describes it as "tRNA-Arg". Lineage: Eukaryota; Metazoa; Mollusca; Bivalvia; Pectinida; Propeamussiidae. The record is from RNAcentral.
GACGGGUUUGAUAGUUUGGUGGCAGGUUUCGGCCUUGUUUCGGGAAGUUUACGUCUUUCGCUCGUUG